AUUGAACGCUGGCGGAAUGCUUUACACAUGCAAGUCGAACGGCAGCACGGACUUCGGUCUGGUGGCGAGUGGCGAACGGGUGAGUAAUGUAUCGGAACGUGCCCAGUCGUGGGGGAUAACGUAGUGAAAAUUACGCUAAUACCGCAUACGAUCUAUGGAUGAAAGCGGGGGAUCGCAAGCACCCGCCCGAUUGGAGCGGCCGAGAUCAGAUUAGGUAGUUGGUGGGGUAAAGGCCCACCAAGCCAACGAUCUGUAGCUGGUCUGAGAGGACGACCAGCCACACUGGAACUGAGACACGGUCCAGACUCCUACGGGAGGCAGCAGUGGGGAAUUUUGGACAAUGGGCGAAAGCCUGAUCCAGCCAUUCCGCGUGCAGGAUGAAGGCCCUCGGGUUGUAAACUGCUUUUGUACAGAACGAAAAGGUUUCUACUAAUACUAGGAGCUCAUGACGGUACUGUAAGAAUAAGCACCGGCUAACUACGUGCCAGCCGCCGCCGUAA
RNAcentral lists this ribosomal RNA (500 nucleotides) under uncultured bacterium. RNAcentral's name for it is "partial 16S ribosomal RNA". It matches the Rfam family "Bacterial small subunit ribosomal RNA", at positions 30 to 523 of the family's 1533-position model. The record is from RNAcentral.